GAUGAACGCUGGCGGCGUGCCUAAUACAUGCAAGUCGAGCGAACGGACGAGAAGCUUGCUUCUCUGAUGUUAGCGGCGGACGGGUGAGUAACACGUGGAUAACCUACCUAUAAGACUGGGAUAACUUCGGGAAACCGGAGCUAAUACCGGAUGAUAUUUUGAACCGCAUGGUUCAAAAGUGAAAGACGGUCUUGCUGUCACUUAUAGAUGGAUCCGCGCUGCAUUAGCUAGUUGGUAAGGUAACGGCUUACCAAGGCAACGAUGCAUAGCCGACCUGAGAGGGUGAUCGGCCACACUGGAACUGAGACACGGUCCAGACUCCUACGGGAGGCAGCAGUAGGGAAUCUUCCGCAAUGGGCGAAAGCCUGACGGAGCAACGCCGCGUGAGUUAUGAAGGUCUUCAGAUCGUAAAACUCUGUUAUUAGGGAAGAACAUAUGUGUAAGUAACUGUGCACAUCUUGACGGUACCUAAUCAGAAAGCCACGGCUAACUACGUG
Molecule: ribosomal RNA, 497 nt
Filed under: uncultured bacterium
Lineage: Bacteria
Description: partial 16S ribosomal RNA
Rfam family: Bacterial small subunit ribosomal RNA
Source: RNAcentral